UGGCCCCACGCGUGUCCUUCCCUGGCUUUGU
RNAcentral lists this non-coding RNA (31 nucleotides) under Mus musculus (house mouse). Lineage: Eukaryota; Metazoa; Chordata; Mammalia; Rodentia; Muridae. The record is from RNAcentral.